UACGGGCAUUGGCAGCCGCGGGCGGCUGCUGCUGCUGCUGCUGCUGCUGCUGCUGGGGCUUCAGCGACAUGGUGGAGAGAUGAACACGCGAGGAUGACCCCCGCAGUGCUGUUUGGAACAGAGAACAGAAGCCCCAUCAGCAGGGAGCAGUCAGAUGCCUCAUAGAGUAUCCUAAAUGCAGCGGAAGAUGCGAUAUUCUCAGCUGUGCAGUGAGAAAGAGGCAGAGCUUCACACUGAUCCAAAAGGAUCUUUAAAACCUGUUGUUUAAAAAAAGAAAAAAACAAAACAGUAUUCAGAAGAAAGCUGAGAAACCUACCUUAACAAUCUGAUGACUUCCAAACCUCCAGAUUCUUGGUCAUCUCACUCAAGACUGCUAGAAGCAUCCUGAAGAAAACAGCACCAUGUGUAUUUUCUGCAAAGCUGGUUUUGAUGAUUAAUCUUAUGUGUCAGCUUGACUGGGCAAUGGGAUGCCCAGAUAUAUCUGGUUAAACAUUAUUUCUGGGGUGUGUCUGGGAGGGGGUUUCCAGAAAAGAUUACCACUUGAGUUGGUAGAUUGAGUAAAGCAGAUUGUCCUCUCCAUUGUGUGUGGGCAUCAUCCAGUUCACUGAGGACUGAGAACAAACAUGCAGAAGAAGGGAGAAUCCUCUGGUUGACCAGUUGAGCUGGGUCCUCGGUCUUCUGCCCUCAGACUGGCACUUAACAUCAUCAGUGCUCCUUGUUCUCAGGCAUUCAGACUUGAAAUUGAAUUACACCGCCAGCUUUCCUGGGUCUCCAACUUGCAGAUGGCAGAUUGUGGGACUUUUUAGCCUUUAUAAUUACAUAAGCCAAUUCCUUAUAAUAAAUGUCUCUACAUACGGAUAGACGUAUCUCUUGUUGGUUCUGUUUCUCUGGACCCUAGCUA
Long non-coding RNA from Panthera uncia (snow leopard), 901 nucleotides. RefSeq lists it as uncharacterized. The record is from RefSeq and is a predicted model, not a curated record. The transcript is spliced from 3 exons. Lineage: Eukaryota; Metazoa; Chordata; Mammalia; Carnivora; Felidae.